CCUGGUCGGACAUCAGGAGGUUAGUGCAAUGGCAUAAGCCAGCUUGACUGCGAGCGUGACGGCGCGAGCAGGUGCGAAAGCAGGUCAUAGUGAUCCGGUGGUUCUGAAUGGAAGGGCCAUCGCUCAACGGAUAAAAGGUACUCCGGGGAUAACAGGCUGAUACCGCCCAAGAGUUCAUAUCGACGGCGGUGUUUGGCACCUCGAUGUCGGCUCAUCACAUCCUGGGGCUGAAGUAGGUCCCAAGGGUAUGGCUGUUCGCCAUUUAAAGUGGUACGCGAGCUGGGUUUAGAACGUCGUGAGACAG
This 304-nucleotide ribosomal RNA is filed under the name Escherichia coli. RNAcentral describes it as "partial 23S ribosomal RNA". It matches the Rfam family "Bacterial large subunit ribosomal RNA", at positions 2326 to 2629 of the family's 2925-position model. Lineage: Bacteria; Pseudomonadati; Pseudomonadota; Gammaproteobacteria; Enterobacterales; Enterobacteriaceae. The record is from RNAcentral.